This 70-nucleotide transfer RNA is filed under the name Amazona aestiva (blue-fronted amazon). It matches the Rfam family "tRNA". From Rfam's summary of the family: Transfer RNA (tRNA) molecules are approximately 80 nucleotides in length. Their secondary structure includes four short double-helical elements and three loops (D, anti-codon, and T loops). Further hydrogen bonds mediate the characteristic L-shaped molecular structure. tRNAs have two regions of fundamental functional importance: the anti-codon, which is responsible for specific mRNA codon recognition, and the 3' end, to which the tRNAs corresponding amino acid is attached (by aminoacyl-tRNA synthetases). tRNAs cope with the degeneracy of the genetic code in two manners: having more than one tRNA (with a specific anti-codon) for a particular amino acid; and 'wobble' base-pairing, i.e. permitting non-standard base-pairing at the 3rd anti-codon position. Lineage: Eukaryota; Metazoa; Chordata; Aves; Psittaciformes; Psittacidae. The record is from Rfam by way of RNAcentral.
CAGGAAAUAGCUUGAUGUAAAAUACCAGCUUUGGGUGUUGGGGAGAGAGGUUUGAGUCCUCUUUUUCUGA